This 4346-nucleotide long non-coding RNA is filed under the name Homo sapiens (human). RNAcentral's name for it is "HSALNT0401490". The record is from RNAcentral. Lineage: Eukaryota; Metazoa; Chordata; Mammalia; Primates; Hominidae.
AGACACAGUCAGUUGGGGAUCAGAGGCCACACUCAUCGUAGCAGAGAGGCAGGAACAGCUGGGCGAGGGUCCUUCUGUGACAUCUACUGCAUCACUGGGCUCUGUGAAGUGACUCAGCUGCCAGAACUCACACAAUAUUCUGCACCAAAACCUCACGGGAAAAAUGAAAACAAAUCCAAACUGUGCAAGAGAAAAACGAAUGCAUUGAUCACUAGGACUCACAAGUUCCCAGGUUUAAUCUGCUUGAGAAACAGUUACACCAAUGGUUUCAAGUGGCAUCCUGUGAUUCAUUCUCUCUCUCCUCCUCUCUUCUCUCUCUCCUUACCCAACACCGGCACCAUAUUUAGCAUCACGAACCUCAGACUUAAACAGCACAACAGGCUCCUCCCAGGUCUCCAGCUACACAACCCUCAGACUUAAACAACAGCAGCGGCACCAGCUCCUCCCUGGGUCUCCAGCUCCACAAACCUCAAAUUAGAACAGCAGCACUGGCUACACCCAGUCUCCAGCUCUACACCUCUAACUUGAACUACAGCCACCAGCUCCUUCCUGGGUCUCCGGCUCCACAGACCUUAAACGAAAACAGCAGCACUGGCUCCUCCCCAGGUCCCCAGCUACAGACCCUCAAACAAGAAGAACAGCAGCACCAGCUCCACCUAAAGUCUCCAGCUCCACACCUCAAACUAGAACUUCAGCACCCGCUCCUCCCCGAGUCUCAAUAUCUGUGACCCUCAAAAUAAAACAGCAGGACCAGCUCCUCCUCUGGUCUUCAGCUUCACGACCUUAACUGUAACAGCACCACCCGCUCCUCCGGGGUCAACAGCUCCGACGCUAAAACUAGAACAGCAGACCAGCUUCUACCUAAAACACCAGCUCCGAGACUCUCAAACAAGAACAGCAGCACUGACUUCUCUCACCAGGUCUCCAGCUCCACGAUCCUGAAACUUGAACGGCAGCACCCGCUCCUCCCCGGGUCUCCAGCUCCACGAACCUCAAACUUGAACAGCAGCACCCGCUCCUCCCAGCGUCUCCAGCUCCAUGAACCUCAAACUUGAACAGCAGUACCCGCUCCUCCCCGGGUCUCCAGCUCCACGAACCUCAAACUUGAACAGCAGCACUCGCUCCUCCCAAGGUCUCCAGCUCUGCGAACCUCAAACUUGAACUGCAGCACCUGCUCCUCCCCGGGUCUCCAGCUCCACGAACCUUAAACUAAAACAGCAGUACUCACUCCUCCCCAGAUCCCCAGCUGCAGACCCUCAAGCUGCAACAGCAGCACCAUCUCCUCUCCAGGUCUCCAGCUCCAUGGACCUUAAACUAGAACAGCAGCACCAGCUCCUCCUUGGGACAACAGCUCCAAGACCCUCAAACUACAACAGCAGCCCUGACUCCUGCCCAGGUUUACAGCUCCACAAACGUCAAACUUGAACUUCAGCACUAGCUGAAGUCUCCAGCUCCCUGACCCUCAAACUAGAACAGCAGCACCAUCUCCUCUCUGGGUCUCCAGCUCCACGAACCUCAAACUUGAACUGCAGCACCUGCUCCUCCCUGGAUCUCCAGCUCCACGGACCUUAAACUAAAACAGCAGUACUCGCUCCUCCCCAGGUCCCCAGCUGCAGACCCUCAAACUGCAACAGCAGCACCAUCUCCUCUCUGGGUCUCCAGCUCCAUGGACCUUAAACUAGAACAGCAGCACCAGCUCCUCUCCUGGUCUCCAGCUCCAGGACCCUAAAACUAGAACAGCAGCACCAGCUCCUCCUUGGGACAACAGCUUUAAGACCCUCAAACUACAACAGCAGCCCUGACUCCUGCCCAGGUUUACAAACCUCAAACUUGAACUUCAGCACUGGCUGAAGUCUCCAGCCCCAUGACCCUCAAACUAGAACAGCAGCACCAUCUCCUCUCUGGGUCUCCAGCUCCAUGGACCUUAAACUAAAACAGCAGCACCAGCUCCUCCCGAGGUCCCCAUCUACAGACCCUCAAACUACAGCAGCACCAGCUCCACCCAAAGUCUCCAGCUCCCCACCUCAAACUAGAACUCCAGCACCCGCUCCUCCCCGAGUCUCAAUAUCCGCCACUCUCAAACAGCAGCACCGGCUCCUCCCCUGGUCUUCAGCUUCACGACCCUAACUAUAACAGCACCACCCGCUCUUCCGGGGUCAACAGCUCCAAGACUCUAAAACUAGAACAGCAGACCAGCUUCUACCCAGGUCACCAGCUCCGAGACUCUCAAACUAGAACAGCAGCCUUAACUUCUCGCCAAAUCUCCAACUCCACGACCCUUAAACUUGAACUGCAGCACUUGCUCCUCCCCAGGUCCCCAGCUACAGACCCUCAAACUAAACAGGAGCACUGACUUCUGCCCACAUAUCCAGCUCCACGAACCUCAAAGUUAAACUUCAGUACCAACUCCUUCCCGCGUCUCCAGCUCCACGACCCUCAAACUACAAUAGCAACACUGGCUCCCCAAUCCCAGGUCUCCAUCUCCACGACCAUCAAACUUGAGUUGCAACACUGGCUCCACCCAAAUUCUCCAGCUCCAGGAUGCUAACUGUAAUAGCAGCACCAGCUCCUCUGCAGGUCACCAGCUCCAAGACUCUCAAACUAGUACAGCAGCACUGACGCCUGCCCAGGUUUCCAGCUCCAUGAACCUCAAACUUGAACUGCAGCACCACCUCCUCCCUGGUUCUCCAGCUUCACGACCCUCAAACUAGAACAGCAGCACCAGCUCCAACCAAAGUCUCCAUCUCCACGCCUCCAACUUGAACUCCAGCACCAGCUCCUUCCUGGGUCUCAUGAUCCAUGACCCUGAAAAUAAAACAGCAGCACCAGCUCCUCUCUAGGUCUCCAGCUCCACGAACCUCAAAUUUAAAAAGCAGCCCUGGCUCUAACCCAGGUCUCCAGCUCCACCAUCGUCAAACUUGAACGGCAGCACUAGCUCCUCCCAAAGUCUCCAGCCCCACGACCCUAAAACAUGAAGAGCAGCAUUGGCUCCUCCCCAGGUCUUCAGCUUCACAACCCUAACUCUUACAGCAACACCCGCUCCUCCCCAGGUUGCCAGCUCCAAGACCCUAAAACUAGAACAGCAGACCGGCUCCUACUCAGGACACCAGCUCCAAGACUGUUAAACUAGAACAGCAGCACUGAUUUCUCACCAGGUCUCCAGCUCCACGACCCUCACACUGGAACUACAGCAACAGCUCCGCCCAGGUCUCCAGCUCCAGGGACCUUAAACUAAAAUAGCAGCACCAGCUCCUCUGCAGGUCCCCAGCUACAGACCCUCAAACUAGAAUAGCAGCACCAUCUCCUCUCCAGUUCUCCAGCUCCACGACCUUGAAACUAGAAAAGAAACACUGACUCCCCCCCACCACCAAUCUCCAUCUCCAGGAACAUCAAACUUGAACUACAACAGCGGCUCAACCCAAAGUCUCCAGCUCCCCGACACUAACUACAACAGCAGCACCAGCUCCUCCCUGGCUCACCAGCUCCAAGAUCCUCAAACCAGAACAGCAGCACUGACUCCUGCCCAGGUCACCAGCUCCAAGACCCUCAAACCAGAACAGCAGCACUGACUCCUGCCCAGGUCACCAGCUCCAAGACUCUCAAACUAGAAUAGCCACACUGACUCCUGUCCAGGUCACCAGCUCCAAGACUUUCAAACUAGAAUAGCCACACUGACUCCUGUCCAGGUUUCCAGCUCCAUGAAACUCAAACUUGAAUUGCAACACUGGCUCCUCUCCAGGUCUCCAGCCACUCAUCCCUCAAACUGUUGCUCCUCCCUGUGUCUCCAGCUUCAUGACCCUCAAACUUGAACUGGGGCACCCGUUCCUCCCCGGGUCUCCAGCUCCACGACACGUGAACUGCAGCACUUGAUCCUUCCUGAGUCUCCAGCUCCAUGACCCUUAUACUUGAACAGCAGCACCAAUUCCUGCCCAGGUCUCCAGCCUCAUGACCUUCAAAUUUAAAAAGCAGAACUGGCUCCAACCCAGGUCUCCAGCUCCACCAUCAUCAAACUUGAAUGGCAGCACUAGCUCGCCACAAAGUCUCCAGCUCCCAUGACCCUCAAAUGUGAACAGCAGCACUGGCUCCUCCCCAGGUGUUCAGUUUCACGACCCUAACUAUUACAGCAACACCUGCUCCUCCCCAGGUCACCAACUCCAAGACCCUAAAACUAGAACAGCAGACCGGCUCCUACCCAGGUCACCAGCUCCAAGACUCUCAAACUAGAACAGCAGCACUGACUUCUUGCCAGGUCUCCAGCUCCAUGACCCUCAAGCUUGAACCGCAGCAACAGCUCCACCCAGGUCUCCAGCUCCACAAACCUUAAACAACAGCACCGGCUCCUCCAG